UACGUAGGGUGCGAGCGUUGUCCGGAUUUAUUGGGCGUAAAGGGCUCGUAGGCGGCGUGUCGCGUCGGGAGUGAAAGCCCGUUGCUUAACGGCGGGUUGGCUUUCGGUACGGGCAUGCUGGAGUGCGGCAGGGAGACUGGAAGUUCCUGGUGUAGCGGUGGAAUGCGCAGAUAUCAGGAGGAACACCGGUGGCGAAGGCGGGUCUCUGGGCCGGUUACUGACGCUGGAGGCGCGACAGCGUGGGAGCGAAC
RNAcentral lists this ribosomal RNA (251 nucleotides) under uncultured bacterium. Its description in RNAcentral is "partial 16S ribosomal RNA". It matches the Rfam family "Bacterial small subunit ribosomal RNA", at positions 524 to 773 of the family's 1533-position model. The record is from RNAcentral.